UGAGUAAUGUCUGGGAAACUGCCUGAUGGAGGGGGAUAACUACUGGAAACGGUGGCUAAUACCGCAUAACGUCGCAAGACCAAAGAGGGGGACCUUCGGGCCUCUUGCCAUCAGAUGUGCCCAGAUGGGAUUAGCUUGUUGGUGAGGUAACGGCUCACCAAGGCGACGAUCCCUAGCUGGUCUGAGAGGAUGACCAGCCACACUGGAACUGAGACACGGUCCAGACUCCUACGGGAGGCAGCAGUGGGGAAUAUUGCACAAUGGGCGCAAGCCUGAUGCAGCCAUGCCGCGUGUAUGAAGAAGGCCUUCGGGUUGUAAAGUACUUUCAGCGGGGAGGAAGGUGUUGUGGUUAAUAACCGCAGCAAUUGACGUUACCCGCAGAAGAAGCACCGGCUAACUCCGUGCCAGCAGCCGCGGUAAUACGGAGGGUGCAAGCGUUAAUCGGAAUUACUGGGCGUAAAGCGCACGCAGGCGGUCUGUCAAGUCGGAUGUGAAAUCCCCGGGCUCAACCUGGGAACUGCAUUCGAAACUGGCAGGCUUGAGUCUUGUAGAGGGGGGUAGAAUUCCAGGUGUAGCGGUGAAAUGCGUAGAGAUCUGGAGGAAUACCGGUGGCGAAGGCGGCCCCCUGGACAAAGACUGACGCUCAGGUGCGAAAGCGUGGGGAGCAAACAGGAUUAGAUACCCUGGUAGUCCACGCCGUAAACGAUGUCUACUUGGAGGUUGUGCCCUUGAGGCGUGGCUUCCGGAGCUAACGCGUUAAGUAGACCGCCUGGGGAGUACGGCCGCAAGGUUAAAACUCAAAUGAAUUGACGGGGGCCCGCACAAGCGGUGGAGCAUGUGGUUUAAUUCGAUGCAACGCGAAGAACCUUACCUGGUCUUGACAUCCACAGAACUUUCCAGAGAUGGAUUGGUGCCUUCGGGAACUGUGAGACAGGUGCUGCAUGGCUGUCGUCAGCUCGUGUUGUGAAAUGUUGGGUUAAGUCCCGCAACGAGCGCAACCCUUAUCCUUUGUUGCCAGCGGUCCGGCCGGGAACUCAAAGGAGACUGCCAGUGAUAAACUGGAGGAAGGUGGGGAUGACGUCAAGUCAUCAUGGCCCUUACGACCAGGGCUACACACGUGCUACAAUGGCGCAUACAAAGAGAAGCGACCUCGCGAGAGCAAGCGGACCUCAUAAAGUGCGUCGUAGUCCGGAUUGGAGUCUGCAACUCGACUCCAUGAAGUCGGAAUCGCUAGUAAUCGUGGAUCAGAAUGCCACGGUGAAUACGUUCCCGGGCCUUGUACACACCGCCCGUCACACCAUGGGAGUGGGUUGCAAAAGAAGUAGGUAGCUUAACCUUCGGGAGGGCGCUUACCACUUUGUGAUUCAUGACUGGGGUGAAGUCGUAACAAGGUAACCGUAGGGGAACCUGCGGUUGGAUCACCUCCUUACCUUAAAGAAGC
This 1441-nucleotide ribosomal RNA is filed under the name Salmonella enterica subsp. enterica serovar Kentucky. RNAcentral's name for it is "bacterial SSU rRNA". It matches the Rfam family "Bacterial small subunit ribosomal RNA". Lineage: Bacteria; Pseudomonadati; Pseudomonadota; Gammaproteobacteria; Enterobacterales; Enterobacteriaceae. The record is from RNAcentral.